This 253-nucleotide ribosomal RNA is filed under the name uncultured bacterium. RNAcentral's name for it is "partial 16S ribosomal RNA". It matches the Rfam family "Bacterial small subunit ribosomal RNA", at positions 524 to 776 of the family's 1533-position model. The record is from RNAcentral.
UACGUAGGGGGCAAGCGUUGUCCGGAAUCAUUGGGCGUAAAGCGCGCGUAGGCGGCCCGGUAAGUCCGUUGUGAAAGUCAAAGGCUCAACCUUUGAACGCCGAUGGAUACUGCCGGGCUAGAGUCCGGAAGAGGCGAGUGGAAUUCCUGGUGUAGCGGUGGAAUGCGCAGAUAUCAGGAGGAACACCAACGGCGAAGGCAGCUCGCUGGGACGGUACUGACACUGAGGCGCGAAAGCCAGGGGAGCGAACGGG